This 242-nucleotide ribosomal RNA is filed under the name uncultured bacterium. Its description in RNAcentral is "partial 16S ribosomal RNA". It matches the Rfam family "Bacterial small subunit ribosomal RNA", at positions 63 to 334 of the family's 1533-position model. The record is from RNAcentral.
CGAACGGCCCGCAAGGGCAGUGGCAGACGAGGUAGUAACACGUACGAACGUACUCCCAAGUCAGGGAUAGCUCACCGAAAGGUGGGGUAAUACUUGAUGGUCCCUCCCGGGGUAAAGAUUUAUCGCUUGGGAAGCGGCGUGCGCAGUAUCAGCUUGUUGGUAGUGUAAUGGACUACCAAGGCUACGACGCUUAGGGGAGCUGAGAGGCUGACCCCCACCGAUGGGACUGAGACACGGCCCAU